AGGGAUGUAGCUCAGUGGUAGAGCACUUGCCUACCAUGCUUAAGGCUCUGAGUUCAAUCCCCAGUAGUACUG
RNAcentral lists this transfer RNA (72 nucleotides) under Heterocephalus glaber (naked mole-rat). It matches the Rfam family "tRNA". From Rfam's summary of the family: Transfer RNA (tRNA) molecules are approximately 80 nucleotides in length. Their secondary structure includes four short double-helical elements and three loops (D, anti-codon, and T loops). Further hydrogen bonds mediate the characteristic L-shaped molecular structure. tRNAs have two regions of fundamental functional importance: the anti-codon, which is responsible for specific mRNA codon recognition, and the 3' end, to which the tRNAs corresponding amino acid is attached (by aminoacyl-tRNA synthetases). tRNAs cope with the degeneracy of the genetic code in two manners: having more than one tRNA (with a specific anti-codon) for a particular amino acid; and 'wobble' base-pairing, i.e. permitting non-standard base-pairing at the 3rd anti-codon position. Lineage: Eukaryota; Metazoa; Chordata; Mammalia; Rodentia; Bathyergidae. The record is from Rfam by way of RNAcentral.